Arabidopsis lyrata subsp. lyrata is the source of this 458-nucleotide long non-coding RNA. RefSeq lists it as uncharacterized. Lineage: Eukaryota; Viridiplantae; Streptophyta; Magnoliopsida; Brassicales; Brassicaceae. The transcript is spliced from 3 exons. The record is from RefSeq and is a predicted model, not a curated record.
AGGACGGAUUUUGGAGACCAUUUUGAGCUUGCGGUUCUUCAUGUUUCAAUAUGGCAUCGUGUACAAGCUCAAUCUCACUGGGAAAAACACCUCACUUGCGAUCUAUGGCUACUCGUGGAUUGUGUUGGUUGCUAUCGUGCUCUUGUUUAAGUCGCGGACUCGAGAUCUCCAUUAUUCUCGCCGGAAACAGAGCGAAUGUUGAGACCUGAUGAAAGAAAGAGAGAGAGCUUAGUGUGGAAGUAGAAGAAAGUAAAGGAGUUUAGUAGACCAUUUUUACCGUGGGCAUGUAAAUGAGAGUUUGUUAGAACGUCAUUGAAAGCAAAGCUCAUCGACUUGGAUUUUUCAUCUCUUUGUAAUCUAAUUUAUGUUUUCUCUAAGGUUAUAUUUAGCUUGACUAUGCAUUGAUGAUAACUUGAUUUUGUCAAUCUGAGAUUUGUCUGUUGUCUGAAAAUCUUUGA